RNAcentral lists this ribosomal RNA (2145 nucleotides) under Triticum aestivum (bread wheat). RNAcentral's name for it is "partial small subunit ribosomal RNA". The record is from RNAcentral. Lineage: Eukaryota; Viridiplantae; Streptophyta; Magnoliopsida; Poales; Poaceae.
AUGGCCGCGCCAACGCCGGCGGCGCCGGUGGCCAGGAAGGUGCCGCGGAAGCUGGCGGAGCACGGGGACGUGCGCGUCGACGACUACUACUGGCUCCGCGACGACGCGCGCGCCGACCCGGCCGUCCUCGCCCACCUCCGCGCAGAGAACGACUACACCGCCGCCCUCAUGUCCGAUACCAAGCAACUUGAGGACGAAAUAUUCGCUGAGAUCCGAGGGAGAAUCAAGGAAGACGAUAUAGAUGCGCCUCUGCGCAAGGGGCAGUAUUACUACUACAAAAGAACAUUGACCGGCAAGGAGUAUGCGCAACGCUGCAGGCGUCUUGUGCCGACCGAUGGCCCUGUUACAGUCCACGAUGAGAUGCCCACAGGCCCUGAUGCGCCUGCUGAGCAUAUUAUUCUGGACGAGAAUUUAAAGGCUGAGGGCCAUGACUACUACAGCAUCGGGGCUUUCAAGGUCAGUCCCAGUGGCAAGCUAGUUGCGUACGCAGAGGACACAAAGGGUGAUGAAAUCUACACUGUUUUUGUCAUUGACGCAGAGAGUGGACAGUAUGUUGGGCAACCACUGAAAGCAAUUACUUCUGACAUUGAGUGGGCCGGUGAUGACAACCUUGUUUACAUAACAAUGGACAAUAUUCUUCGACCAGAUAAAGUAUGGUUACACAAGUUAGGAACUGAUCAAUCGGAUGAUACAUGCCUGUAUCAUGAAAAGGAUGACACAUUUUCACUUGGUCUUCAUGCUUCUGAAAGCAAAAAGUAUUUAUUUGUUGGAUCUGGAAGCAAAAAUACAAGUUUUAUAUUUUACCUAGACAUACCCAGUCAGAGCAAGGAGCUCGCAGUUUUGACACCUCGUGUAGAUGGCAUUGAUACAACAGCAAGUCACCGUGGAAACCAUUUCUAUAUUACAAGGAGAAGCGAAGAAUUCUACAACUCCGAAUUGGUUGCUUGCCCGUUGAAUAAUGUAGCUGAGACUACUGUCUUGCUACCGCAUAGAGAAAGUGUGAAAAUUCAGGAUGUCCAACUCUUUGAGAAUCACAUUGCUGUAUAUGAGCGUGAGAAUGGUCUACCAAAAGCAACUGUCUAUCGCCUACCAGCCACUGGAGAGGCAGUUGGGCAACUUCAGGGAGGACGGGCAAUUGAUUUUAUUGAUCCAGCAUAUGCAGUGGAACCUGAGCCAUCACAGUUCCAUUCAAAUGUUGUUCGCUUUUAUUAUAGCUCAAUGAGGACGCCACCCUCUAUCUUUGACUAUGACAUGGAUACGGGGGUGUCGGUAUUGAAGAAAAUCGACACUGUUUUAGGUGGAUUUGAUGUGUCAAACUAUGUAACAGAGAGAAAAUGGGCUGCUGCUUCUGAUGGAACUCAGAUCCCCAUGUCCGUUCUUUACAGAAAAGAUAUGGUGAAGCUUGAUGGCUCAGACCCCAUGCUGCUAUAUGGAUAUGGCUCGUAUGAGAUAUGCAUCGACCCGACUUUCAGGGGAUCAAGAUUCUCUCUGGUGGACAGGGGUUUUGUAUACGUGAUAGCUCAUAUCCGUGGAGGUGGUGAAAUGGGCCGGAAUUGGUAUGAAGAUGGAAAGCUGUUGAAGAAGAAAAACACUUUCACUGAUUUCAUUGCCUGUGCUGAGCACUUGAUAGAAAACAAGUACUGUACGAAAGAAAAGCUUUGCAUCAACGGAAGAAGUGCAGGUGGCCUGUUGAUGGGUGAUGUCCUAAAUAUGAGGCCCGACUUAUUCAAGGCAGCUGUUGCUGGGGUGCCUUUUGUCGAUGUUCUCACAACUAUGCUUGACCCAACUAUCCCGUUGACUACAGCUGAAUGGGAGGAGUGGGGUGAUCCAAGGAAAGAAGAAUACUACUAUUACAUGAAAUCUUAUUCUCCUGUUGAUAACGUAAAAGCACAAGACUAUCCCCACAUUCUCGUUACUGCUGGCUUAAAUGAUCCUCGUGUGAUGUACUCGGAGCCUGCCAAGUUCGUGGCGAAGCUGAGGGAGCUCAAGACAGACGACAACCUCCUGCUGUUCAAGUGCGAGCUCGGCGCCGGGCACUUCUCCAAGUCGGGGAGGUUUGAGAAGUUGCGAGAAGACGCCUUCACCUACGCAUUCAUCCUCAAGGCGCUGGGCAUGAUGACUCCAACGACAGCUUCUUCGCUGUGA